UUGCAGGCUAGGCCGGGGAGCCAGGGGUUCCUUGUAAUCGCAAAUCCCCUUCAGGCGAGGCUGAAAUCCGGGUGAGGCAUGCUCUGGCACUGUCUUGCCAUGGUUCGGAGCGUCGAACUCAUGCCUGCCUUGAUUGCCGUAGUAUCAAACCGGGUCAGGCCGGAAGGAGCAGCCCUAAGGUAAUAUGCGUAAUGCUUGGCAGAUACAUGGGGGAGCCGAGAGCCAUGGCUGGCAUUGUUUUUGCAUGUCCAGCCCGGGGGCCUGCAC
RNAcentral lists this signal recognition particle RNA (267 nucleotides) under Candidatus Micrarchaeota archaeon CG_4_10_14_0_2_um_filter_49_7. RNAcentral describes it as "signal recognition particle sRNA". It matches the Rfam family "Archaeal signal recognition particle RNA". Lineage: Archaea; Nanobdellati; Microcaldota. The record is from RNAcentral. RNAcentral also lists the same sequence under 1 other name.